CGGAUCGCAGGCUGCAACCCGCCUGCGUGAAGUUGGAAUUGCUAGUAAUCGCGGAUCAGCAAGCCGCGGUGAAUACGUUCCCGGGCCUUGUACACACCGCCGUCACACCAUGAGAGUCGGGAACACCCGAAGUCCGUAGUCUAACCGCAAGGAGGGCGCGGCCGAAGGUGGGUUCGAUAAUUGGGGUGAAGUCGUAACAAGGUAUC
This 206-nucleotide ribosomal RNA is filed under the name uncultured bacterium. Its description in RNAcentral is "partial 16S ribosomal RNA". It matches the Rfam family "Bacterial small subunit ribosomal RNA", at positions 1294 to 1500 of the family's 1533-position model. The record is from RNAcentral.